UACGAAGGGGGCCAGCGUUUGUUCGGAAUUACUGGGCGUAAAGCGCGCGUAGGCGGCUUUGUAAGUUAGAGGUGAAAGCCCGGGGCUCAACCCCGGAACUGCCUUUAAGACUGCAUCGCUUGAAUCCAGGAGAGGUGAGUGGAAUUCCGAGUGUAGAGGUGAAAUUCGUAGAUAUUCGGAAGAACACCAGUGGCGAAGGCGGCUCACUGGACUGGUAUUGACGCUGAUGUGCGAAAGCGUGGGGAGCAAACAGGG
Molecule: ribosomal RNA, 255 nt
Filed under: uncultured bacterium
Lineage: Bacteria
Description: partial 16S ribosomal RNA
Rfam family: Bacterial small subunit ribosomal RNA
Source: RNAcentral